GUAGCGGUGAAAUGCUUAGAUAUCACACAGAACACCGAUUGCGAAGGCAGCACACUAAGUCAUUAUUGACGCUGAGGCACGAAAGUGUGGGGAUCAAACAGGAUUAGAUACCCUGGUAGUCCACACUGUAAACGAUGAUAACUCGCUGUCGGCGAUACACAGUCGGUGGCCAAGCGAAAGCAUUAAGUUAUCCACCUGGGGAGUACGACCGCAAGGUUGAAACUCAAAGGAAUUGACGGGGGCCCGCACAAGCGGAGGAACAUGUGGUUUAAUUCGAUGAUACGCGAGGAACCUUACCCGGGCUCGAACGGUGCAUGAAUAUACGAGAGAUUGUAUAGUCCUUCGGGACAUGUAUCGAGGUGCUGCAUGGUUGUCGUCAGCUCGUGCCGUGAGGUGUCGGCUUAAGUGCCAUAACGAGCGCAACCCUUGUCAUUAGUUGCCAUCAGGUCAAGCUGGGGACUUUAAUGAGACUGCCACCGUAAGGUGUGAGGAAGGGGGGGAUGACGUCAAAUCAGCACGGCCCUUAUGUCCGGGGCGACACACGUGUUACAAUGGGAGGUACAGAGGGCAGCUAUCCGGUGACGGAAUGCUAAUCUCCAAAACCUUUCUCAGUUCGGAUUGGAGUCUGCAACUCGACUCCAUGAAGGUGGAUUCGCUAGUAAUCGCGCAUCAGCCAUGGCGCGGUGAAUACGUUCCCGGGCCUUGUACACACCGCCCGUCAAGCCAUGGAAGCUUGGGGUGCCUGAAGUUCGUGACCGCAAGGAGCGACCUAAGGCAAAACAGGUAACUGGGGCUAAGUCGUAANCAAGGUAACCNAAAGGGCGAAUUCNUAACUCG
RNAcentral lists this ribosomal RNA (837 nucleotides) under uncultured bacterium. RNAcentral describes it as "bacterial SSU rRNA". It matches the Rfam family "Bacterial small subunit ribosomal RNA", at positions 675 to 1533 of the family's 1533-position model. The record is from RNAcentral.